CCCCCCCCCCGGCAGCCGCAGCGGGGGCAGGAUCCCGUGGGCACGGCGGGUUUGCCCACCCUUGGGCCGCGCAGCGCCCCCUCUGCCCUCGCUGCCUCCGCUUCCAGCCGGGCAUGCUGCAUACCUAAAAGCAGGAGCUGAUUCUUGCCCCCUUGGCCUUGAUUGCACUUGUUGCAAACAUUGGAAACUUCUUUGCAUUUAAAUAACGGACUUACUCAGGCUUUGACACCCCACUGGGAUUCUGCUUCAUCAGCACAGCCCUGCUCUAAACUGCUUCUUACGGCUAUGCAUAAUUUAGCUUUUAAUGAGAAAUAUCCCAUAGAUCUAUGCUUCGAAGCAGCCCCUCUGCGUCGCAGUCCCAUCCAGACGGCGCACCUAUUCUGCGCAGCUCCAACUAGCUGAGCCUUCUUAACACAGUAAUUAGCCUCGCUGCCUCGCAUGAUAAAGAUGAAGCAAGAGAAUCAGAAAAAAGGGAUGCUGCUAGAAGCUGUGCCUUCUAAGCAAGCCUCUGUGGUCACUUCAAAAUCCAGCAAUGCUUUCUAAGCACUGUAUAUGGCUUACUGAUGUUUCUAUACUGUUGCUAAUACAGAGGAGCUUGCAAAAAACGGCAUCGUAGCUUUUAUAGAAGAUAGGGCCAUUACUAGAGUUUUUCAGGCAUCAAAGCAAAUCAUUUUUACUUUCUGCUCUCCCAUGUCACUUUAUUGUUACUUCCCAGAGGGACUUAACGCAGAAUAUGUGAAAGGAGAAAACAUGGAAGCGGUUGUGAGCGAAGAACCUCAAGUUAAAUAUUCAGUGCAGGAAACACAGCCAGCAGAACCACCCAAACAAGACAGCACGAAGCUCUAAAGCACGACCUGGGGCUGGAAGAGAACCAGUCAGCAGCAGACAUGGAGAUCUUACAUGCUUGUAAUUUAGCUUUUUAUUUAAUUUGAAUCCAAAGCUAUUUAAUGUGUACUUAGGCUUGAACUGGCUUCUUACUGCUAUAGGCUUUAGGGUUAGAAUGGUAAUAUGUGUUUUUUUGUAAAGACUUCUAUGUUUACAUUUACGUAAUAUUAUAGGCUUGAUUUCAAGUUGUAUGCAAAACAACCGAAGGUGCUUCAGUAGCGUUCAACUAUCAGUUAAGGGACAAGGUCUUUUCCAAGGAGCAGAAGAGCUUACAGGUGUGAGGACAGUGAAGUGCCUGUAAAUAGCAAUCCAAAGCAAACCACGCAAAACCCUUUGUAAAUCACUUCCAGCUGACUUUAACCACCUGCUACAGGCACAUAACUUCCAAUGGCAGUGAUGAAAACUGCACAUUUACUGAGGGUAGAUUGAGGUCCUUAGAGUAGCUACACCUGAAAAUAAAGUGCCUAUGGGUAGGUCCUCA
RNAcentral lists this long non-coding RNA (1366 nucleotides) under Struthio camelus australis. RNAcentral's name for it is "lncRNA (ENSSCUG00000006407.1)". The record is from RNAcentral. Lineage: Eukaryota; Metazoa; Chordata; Aves; Struthioniformes; Struthionidae.